GGUUAAAUAACAUAAUGGCUAAUGUAUUAGAUUGCAAAUCUAUUAAUGACAGUUCGAUUCUGUCUCUAACCU
This 72-nucleotide transfer RNA is filed under the name Actinomycetota bacterium. RNAcentral describes it as "tRNA-Cys". It matches the Rfam family "tRNA". From Rfam's summary of the family: Transfer RNA (tRNA) molecules are approximately 80 nucleotides in length. Their secondary structure includes four short double-helical elements and three loops (D, anti-codon, and T loops). Further hydrogen bonds mediate the characteristic L-shaped molecular structure. tRNAs have two regions of fundamental functional importance: the anti-codon, which is responsible for specific mRNA codon recognition, and the 3' end, to which the tRNAs corresponding amino acid is attached (by aminoacyl-tRNA synthetases). tRNAs cope with the degeneracy of the genetic code in two manners: having more than one tRNA (with a specific anti-codon) for a particular amino acid; and 'wobble' base-pairing, i.e. permitting non-standard base-pairing at the 3rd anti-codon position. The record is from RNAcentral. Lineage: Bacteria; Bacillati; Actinomycetota.